GGCGCCAAAGGGAACACCUUCAAAACUUAUUUUUCUCACGAUGAGCUUGUUCCAGGAUAAUUGGCUGCACAUAAGUUCACGUCUCCACAACCUUUUCCUCACCGUCACAUCCAUUAGACCGAACCUUCACAGACCACAUCCAAAAAGGCGGUGGUAGGGGCCCUCCUAAUGGAGGCCUCAGAGGAUGUGGUGCACAAAGACAGAGGUUUAUCUUUGCGCCCAGGUCCAUUAGAAAAUGAGACCCUUGUACAGAACAGCAAUUUGCUGGAGGUGAUGCAUCCCGAGUACAGGCAUGGCGGGAAGGGGCUGGAGGUGCUGCUGUGCUCAGGGUACAGGAACAGCAUCGACCGCUUCUCUGGGCUGUACUUCUUGCUGGCACAAGACAUGUGCCCUGGCACAGCUCACCCUGGGGAGCGGGUAAGGCAGUAAGCUGUACCUCCUUGCUGGGUACAGCACUAGAGCAAGGCUCCCCUGAGCAGGAUUGCUUCUUUUCAUGUGUGAGAACAGCUCACCCACAGCAAUGCUGUGUGUCCAGGACACCACAGCCGGUCAGCUCCAGGGCACCUUGACGGACUCCUCUGUCCCACUGCAGCCCCUUGGCAGCUCACCCUCCCUCCCAUCUGGCCGGGAGCAUGAAGCAGGAAGGAAGACGGAAAUCAGGAGGCUUUGCAGGGCACAAGGGCAUCCCAGGGCGCCCUGAAAGGAUGCCAGCAGUGCCUGUGGGUUGAGGAGUUAGGGCUGCAGAGCUGGCAACAGAGGCAGGAAAAGUACAGGCAGAGCAGGCUGGGCAGUGCUGGCAGCCGGCGCUGCGGGAGCGGCGUGGAGAGUACUGCUGAUGCAGCAGAAGGUGUCUCGGCGGGCGGCUGUGAGGGUACAGCGAGGCGACGAGCAGGGCUGGAGGAUGGGUAUGGCUAGGUGACAGAUGUGGCUUGGUGAGCAGAGCUGCAGGAGCUGGUGACCAGGCAAGCGGUGUGCUGAAACAGGAGCGGGAGCGCUGCGUCUGCUGGAGCCUUGCUAAUUGUGAGGGGGGUGGCACCCGUACCCCGACGCAGGGAAAGGUUAUUAAGUGUGGAGGACUCCUCCCUGGGAUGCUCAGGUGUCUGACAAGUUUAAUUCCAAAACGGUGGGUAAAGUAGAGAUGGGUUUGGCCAAACUGCCAUUGUGAAUUCCCCCAGAGUGGCCCUAAAUCCUUUUGGGGGCAGAGAGGCUGGGAAGAGCAGCGCUACCCACCUGGGAGACUUGGCCUGGAAAUACAAAAGGGCUUCUGUGACCACGGGCACAAACAGGGUGUGCUGGGCAGGCAGGUACCCAGCUGCCUCUGUGUUGCUAUGUCCCUGCAGCCUCUGCCUCCCUGCUGAGCAUCUCCGCAGAGGCAGGGGCCGUGCUGCCCACCCCACUGCACACCCGGCCCCAGCCGUGCCCUGCGGGAGCGGGAUGCUGCCUGUCCCCGGAGUCUGAUGGAGCCGUCACACUUGGCAGCUCCGGCCCGUCUCCUCAGCUGAGUGAUCCGGUGAGACACCCGCCGCUGCCGUCGCCUGGGACAGGCUCUGCUGUCCCCCAGCCCGGCCUCGGGAGCUGCGUGUGCCACGGCAAGGAAGGGCACUCACAGCAGCUGGCUCUGGAAUUUUGGCACGGCGCUUACAUGUCCGGCAUGGGACACGGGGAUACUGUGGCUCAGCGGAAACUUGUUUUGCUGAGUGCAGCACAAGGCUGCUGUGUCUGGUUUCAGGGAAGGUGAGCACCCUCUGCUCGGACACUGUCACCUCCCAGGGGCACAGGAAGAAGGGCUCAGGGGUCCUGCGAGCUGGCUCGCCACCUGCCAGGGGAUCACAGCAGCUGCCAGGCCACUGUGUAUCCCUCACUCCCUCUCACCUCGCACUAACGGAGCUGGGAGGGUUAAAAUGCCAGGCUGCUCUCCGAGCAGGGCUCCUGCUUCCCUCCACGUGGGUAUGGAGCAGGGUAGGGCUGAGCAGAGCAGUUGGGCUGCAGCCUCCUGGCUCAAUGCAGCAGGCGCUGUGCUGGCCCCGCUGCCCUGGAGCAUCCUGCCAGGGACAGACCCAGAACGGGAGGAGAGCCCCGGCCCCCUCCCGAGCCUCCCGGAGGCAGGGGAUGCUGGGCUCCUGGACCAGAGCCCUCCUGCCGAUGGAGGAGGUGGCAACGCUGCAACAGAGCUUCCCAUCAGCACCUUAUAUUUACUGCAAGGUCCUCUGGCUAUGACCUUUGAAGACAAGGUGGCCCAGCAGCCCGGGAUCUGGCAGCGGCAGCAGGGACUCGCGGUGAUCAGACACUCCGCAGGACUGUCCCGGCUGGGCCAGGCGUGCCGGGCUGGGAGCUGAGCGAGAGGUCGUGGACACACAGACUGCGGGCAGUUUCUAACUUUCCCUGUGGUGGAGGAGGGCUGGAGAGCAGGAGCAAACACAAGGAGAAGGCUCUGGACCCCACAGAAUGCAUGCGACUGCUUCCAGCUGGUCCCAGGACCUCUCAGCAGAUCCCCAGCGGGACUCACCAGCUCCUCAGAGCAGUUCCAGCACUCCUGGUACGUCCAGUUGAGAGAGAACUGCUUGUUCUCCACCUUGUAGCAGGAGUUGAAGGUGCAGGAGAGCUUCACAGAGGAGCCAUUCAGCGCGUUGAUGGUGGGGGGAGCCAUGACCUCCAUGCCCAACCCCGUGGGCGCUGCACGGGCACAGAGAAUGAGAACAGGCUCUCCUGAAGCAAAGGCAGCCCACCCAGAGCUCCAGGACAGCGUGAACAGCUCUUCAAAGAGGUGAUACGUUCCUGUUUCCAAUCAAUACAGACCCAAACCUGCUGACACACGCUGCUUG
Columba livia (rock pigeon) is the source of this 2822-nucleotide long non-coding RNA. RefSeq lists it as uncharacterized. NCBI's taxonomy places the organism in Eukaryota, Metazoa, Chordata, Aves, Columbiformes, Columbidae. The record is from RefSeq and is a predicted model, not a curated record. The transcript has 3 exons.